AGAGGGUUGGAAGUCGCAGGUGCACUUCGGUGCCUAAGAGGGAAUCCCGUGGGAAUCGGGAACGGGCCCGCCGCUGUGAUCGGGGACGAAAGCUGCUCGCAUGCCACUGCCGCAGUGUUUGCGGUGGGAAGGCGCAGCCGGUAGGACGAUCCGAGAGUCAGAAAACCUGCCUGCGACGCGAGGUGCCG
Molecule: non-coding RNA, 188 nt
Filed under: Desulfacinum infernum
Lineage: Bacteria; Pseudomonadati; Thermodesulfobacteriota; Syntrophobacteria; Syntrophobacterales; Syntrophobacteraceae
Source: RNAcentral